RNAcentral lists this RNase P RNA (382 nucleotides) under Gemella sp. WT2a. RNAcentral describes it as "RNase P RNA component class B". It matches the Rfam family "Bacterial RNase P class B". Rfam says of the family: Ribonuclease P (RNase P) is a ubiquitous endoribonuclease, found in archaea, bacteria and eukarya as well as chloroplasts and mitochondria. The record is from RNAcentral. RNAcentral also lists the same sequence under 3 other names. Lineage: Bacteria; Bacillati; Bacillota; Bacilli; Caryophanales; Gemellaceae.
CUUUUGAUGUGAUCGCACCUUUUUAGGUGAGGAAAGUCCAUACUCGCACAAGCUGAGAUGCUUGUAGUGUUCAUGCUAAACGAAACAAUAAGUUUAGGUACACCUAUGUUGUAACGGCAGACAAAUAUUCCUAAGUACUCUGUAUAUGGAAUAUUAUAUCUUGAAAGUGCCACAGUGACGGAGUUUUCAUAGAAAUAUGAGAAGUGGAACGCGGUAAACCCCUUGAGCGAGCAAUUCAAAUUUUGGUAGAAGCACUUAUUUCAUAGAAAUGAAUAUAGAAAUAGGAGACAAUAAUAUUGUCUAGACAGAUGAUCACAGCUAUCUUUACGAAAGUUCUAGUUCUUGUUUGAGUAAGGAUAGAGACAGAAUAUGGCUUAUGAUA